CAAUAAUUCUUUCUCAUCAUUGAUGUUUCUAUCUCUCCCUCUCCCUUCCUCUUGAAAUCAAUAAAAAUAUAUUUAAAAAUAAAGAAGGAAGGAGCCAUCCAAGGAGACUUUGAGAUCUCUCAGGGAGGCAAGCCAGAAAAAUGUGGCACAUCAGAAACAAAAGAGCCCAGCCAGUGUGGCUCAGUGGUUGAGUAUCAACCUAUGAACCAGGAGGUCACAGGUUCGAUUCUCGGUCAGGGCACAUGCUCAGGUUGUUGGCUCGAUCCCUGAGGCAGCCAAUCAAUGAUUCUCUCCCUUCCUCUCUGAAAUCAAUAAAACUAUAUAUUUUUUAAAAAAACAAAAAUGAAGGAAGUUUCGAGAAGAGUGAUUUCAAGUUCUGUCCAGUAAGAAGAGGAUAGUGAAUUAACCGUGAGACUGGCGGAUUGUUAAAUUUAACAGAAUGCAAGUUGAGGGGAUAAAAGACUGGACUGGAGAGAAAGGGAUUGAAGUAGAGUCAGCAAAUGGACUCGAGUUUUCAUGUAUGUGGAGGGAUACAUGGAAUAGCUGAGCUAAGGAAAGGUUUUAACGUGUAAGGAGAUAAGACAGCAUGCGCAUAUGCCGACUGGAAUAUUGCAUCAGAAGGGGACAGAUGCAUGUAGUAGGGAGGGGUGGGUUAUUGUAGGAGCGAAAUCUGAGCAGGCAGACGAGAAGCGAGAGCUAGGACUCCUGACCGGUUAGUCUCAACAGGCACAUGGUCAGUUCCAGUUCAUGUGUCAAAAGGGAAUGCGGUGCUUUGACUCAUUUAUUCAAAUAUUUAUUCCGUAGGUAUUAUUACGAAGCACCAUUUUGAGUACUGGGGAUAAAGCAGUGACCAAAACAAGACAAAAGCCUGUAGCCUCGAGGCACUUGCAGUGAAUGGGAGUAAAGGCAGACAGCCUGCUAUACUCGGUAUUAGGGAAAUGAGAUCAUUCUCUUCGAAUAGCUACACUUUCCCAGGGAAGGGCCGGGCGGGAUGGCCUGUCGGAAGUCUCCAGGAGGGGAGAGGUGCGUAUGACUCGCUGACAGCAGCAAAGUGAAUGGACCAGGAGUGCCAGUCAGAACUGGAGGUCAGCUGGAGUCUUUGGUCAUGACUUCAAAUGAACUGGUAACUCAUCCUGUUGCCUGGAUGCAGGCAUGAAAAAUGAGUACAAAACCUUAACAUUUCAAAGUCUCUACAGCAAGCCAAAAAAAACGGCAGCUCCCAUCCCUUCUCAUAUACCCGGUAGGUGGCUUCCCUGAGAGAUCGGUCCUCAUUUCCCCAUGGAAAUGAGACGCGCCUGUCCGAGGAGCAGUUGGUAUAAAUGCGCUAGACUGCUCUCCAUCCCUUCCUGAACCAUGUCCUUAGAGACGGAUGUCGUUCUACUCUAUUUUAAGUCAAGUAUAAGUUCUCUCGCAGUUACCUUCACUGUGUUCCUAAUCUCCACACGCCAGUUAGAAGGACCGACGCUCCUGUAUCAUAGCCCACAUCCACCUGAGGGCUGUGCUCUGGACCGGAAUUCCAGAGCUGUGGACCUCUCGGCCCCUCUGGCUCCCUGUCCUGCCCCUGCCGCCGAGUCAGCUGUGAAAUGAGUGAUUUAAUAUAUGGUUAUCCUGAAAGUGUUAUUAUUCAUGUUCCUUAACGUCAGUCAGAGGAAGGAGUCCCAGUCACAAAGCUAAUGGGAUAAGUUCAUAGAGUAACAGCGUGUAAUUCACGUGUGUGGUCAUGCCUUUAAAGCAGCACUUUCUAAGCUUUGGGCAGAACCAUCUGGAUGGGUUUUGACAUUUCCACACACCUUUCUAAUUUUAUAUUUAAAAGUGUUGUUUAAUUAACAGUUUUCUUAAGAACAACUCACUCUGAUGUCAAUUUAUUUGGAAAAAGAAGCAUGUCGCUUUGGUAAAUGGAAAAUGGGUAUCCCUUUCUGUGAAUAGGAGAUUACCGAAACACAUAAUGAAACCAAAGGAGUCAUUAAAUUUCAGCUAUGUAGUAUUGCCUAUGAAGACUCAGCCCCAACUCUACCCUCCCUUUAUGUUUAAAAAAAAUAUUUUUUAUGUUUUUAUUGAUUUCAGAGAGAGGAAGGGAGAGGGAGAGAUAGAAACAUUGAUGAGAGAGAAUCAUCCAUCAGCUGUCUCCUGCACACCCCCUACCGGAACCGAACCGUGACCUCCUGGUUCAUAGGUUGAUGCUCAGUCACUGAGCCCCUCCAGCGGGGCUACCCUCCUUUUAUGAAAGGUGUGACUAGUAACUAAUAUUAGGUGAGGGUGAAAACCAUGACCAGCAGAAUUAAUCUUUCUGCAUGAUGUAACCAAAAGGAUUUGAAGAGAAUUUUGAGCACUACUGUCAUCUUGGUCUGGGAAGUGCUUUUAGCACCAAAAGGUUAAUCAUUGCAGUUCCUUGCUUAUUAGCCUAAAACAGAAAUAUUAACAUGUCUUAAUUUAAAGGCAUUUACCUCGCUACGUGCAGACAGAAUGUGCCUCUUAAUAACGGUUUCUGUAAACCCCCCCCCCCCCCCCGAGGCAUCGCCGGCAUUAUCUGUGUCAGUAUUAGAGUAACUGGCAUUACCCGACUCCUCAGGAGCCUCUAAUCUCGCCUGUCUUCUAAUCUCAGGAGAAACACCGCAGCCCUUCCAGUGCGAUUCUUUGGGGUUGAGCGAGAGUUCCGGGCAGACUUGUCUACAGUUGCUUUCGGGCCCAGCCUUCCAGCCCUGAAAACCCCCUUAGAGUCUUCAGCUCCUGUGUCUCCCUCCCUCAACCCUGUUUCAAUCCAACUCAGCCCACCUCACUUCUGCAUCCGGGUGGCGAGAAGGAAGCUGGGUUAAUUCACAACGGUGCUGACUGCUCAUUCCUUCGUUUCAUGACAAAGCUCAGCAGGCCCUGGAGUGUCCUGGCCUUCCCACAGCUUCUACAUCAGUUACUCCUUCACUUGCUGAGACCCUAUUCUACUUGCUCUUCUCUGCCUUUAACCCUCUAGGCUAGGACCACUCCUCCUUUCACAAUCAUGAAGGUGAUUAACCUGCGUCUUAUUUCACUAAAAACAACCACAGAGUGAGCCAGAGAUCACCUGCCAGCCCCAGCAGACUCUCAGCCUCCUGACGGAUGUGUGUUUAAGGCCAAUGUCCCUCUUCUCAUGGGUAGAAGCUUUGUUCCUGCAACUCUUCCCUCUGUCUCAGCUGUUCAUGUUCCCUUUGUUGGACUUUUCUGUUGGCCUGUAAUGUUGUUAUAUUUCCAAUCUUAAAAACAAGAAGGAAAAACAAUAACGAACAGCCCUCCGUCCCCUGCCAACUAAUGUCCCAUUUUCUUUGCUCACCUCUGGAGAGAAACACCUUAAAAGGGUUGUCUAUUUUUGUCUCACUUUCUCUCCUUCAUUCUUUUCACAUUGGCUUUUUCUCCAGCAUCCCAACAAAACUGCCUUCAUGUUAUCAAAAGCAAUUGUCAGUCGUCUGCCAUUAUCUUUUCCUGCCAGCGUUUGACACCAAUGAUCACUCUUUCUCCAAGUGCUUUCCUUACACUUGGCCUCCGGGAUACGAAGUGCACUUGCUCUCGAAUCUUCAAGUCACCGAUGGUUUCUUCUUGGUUUGCUUCGCUGAAUCCUGUCCUCCAAAUUCCAGCGUCCCAGGCGAAGACUUCAGGAGCCUGUUCCAUCCACCCUCACGCCCUUGGUCACCUCCCCAUCUGGUGGCAUAAACACUUCCAUGCUCUGAUGACUCCCAAAUGUGUGUCAGCUCCCAGCCCCCACAUCCAGACUUACAUAUCCAGUUGCUCCUCAACAUUUCCUUUGCUGCCCAAACCUAACAUACAGUGUCCAGCCGGCGUGGCUCGGUAGUUGAACGUCGACCUGUGAACCAGGAGGUCAUAGCUUGAUUCCCGGUCAGCGCACAUGCCUGGGUUGUGGGCUCGAUCCCUAGUUUGGAGCAUGCAGGAGGCAGCCGCUCAGUGAUUCUUUCUCAUCAUUGAUGUUUCUAUCUCUCUCUCCCUCUCCCUUCCUCUCUGAGAUCAAUAAAAAUAUAUUUGAAAAAACAAACAAAACAAACUUAACAUGUAGCUCCUGACUCACGCUCCUUCCUGGCCAUGGACCUACUCGUUCCCAGUUCCCAGUCUUCCUCUUCAUGUAAAAGGCACUUCCAACUUUUAGUUGUUUCUGCCCAGCAUCUUGGAGUCACCUUUGACUGCUUCUGUUCUCUUAUACUCCAGGACAAGUUUGUCUUCAAAUUCUGAUGGUUUGACCUUCGAUAUACUCGCAGCUUGCUGCUCCUGCUCCUGGCCUCCCCGAGACCAGCGUCAAUCACUUCCGCCAGGACUGCUGGAAUAGCCUCCCCACCAGCUUCCUGUUUCCACCUUUGCCCUUCUGUUUGUUUCCUACAAAGUUGCUAGAGUCCUCUGCUAACAGACCCGUCCCAUAGUAAAAUCCAAAGUCCUUACAAUGCCUUCAAGACUUGCUCUGGCUUCAGACUCUGAGUUCUCCUAGCACUCUCCUUUGCUCACUCUGUUCCAAUCACAUGGCCACCUGGCUGUGCCCUGAGCACGUGGCUCACUCUCCAGCCCCCGGCCUUUGCACUUCCUCCUCCCUCUGCCUGCAACGGACUGCUCAGAGUUCCAUCUCACUCGCUCCCCCCACAGCUACUCCACAAAUACCUACUUUAUGCCCUGGAAUGCCUCCUGUUCCUCUGACCCACCCAAACGCUUAUCCAGCUCCACCUAUGUUAGGAGGAGACCAUAAUCUAUGAACCUCUCAUGAAAGGCUGUUUACCUGACCUUGGCCUUCUCAGAGAAUUUUAAUAUCGUUAGUCCUGCUGCUGUGACAUUGAUCCAAACAUAUCUUGAAGUUGUGGAAAUUUGAGAUAGUCUAUAAUGGGUAUGCAAAAAGAAAAGAAAGAACACCAAGGAAAAGGAAAAAUUUUCUAAUGUUAUCUGCCGUUUACCUUUAAUUUUCCAUCGUAUGGUUAUUUGACUCUCUUUCCACCUCCUUGGUGGAGCUAUGUCUGUUCUCAGCUGUGUGAUCAGUGCCUGGAAUAGUGCAGACGCACCAUAUGUCCUUAAUAAAUAUUUUUUUUUAAUGAA
Myotis myotis is the source of this 5052-nucleotide long non-coding RNA. RefSeq lists it as uncharacterized. The record is from RefSeq and is a predicted model, not a curated record. NCBI's taxonomy places the organism in Eukaryota, Metazoa, Chordata, Mammalia, Chiroptera, Vespertilionidae. The transcript has 2 exons.